AGCAGCCGCGGUAAUUCCAGCUCCAAUAGCGUAUAUUAAAGUUGUUGCAGUUAAAAGCUCGUAGUUGAAUUUCGGGAUCAAUUAAUCGGUCGUGCCUCUGGUACGCACUGGUUUUAUUGGUUUCUCCCUUCUGACGAACCAGGAUGUCAUUAAUUUGGUGUCUUGGAGAAUCAGGACUGUUACUUUGAAAAAUUGAGUGUUUAAAGCAGGCUAACGCUUGAAUACAUUAGCAUGGAAUAAUGAAAUAGGACGUUUGAUCCUAUUU
RNAcentral lists this unclassified non-coding RNA (265 nucleotides) under uncultured Diversispora. Its description in RNAcentral is "sequence contains 18S rRNA gene". It matches the Rfam family "Eukaryotic small subunit ribosomal RNA", at positions 569 to 842 of the family's 1831-position model. The record is from RNAcentral. Lineage: Eukaryota; Fungi; Glomeromycota; Glomeromycetes; Diversisporales; Diversisporaceae.